Molecule: ribosomal RNA, 916 nt
Filed under: uncultured bacterium
Lineage: Bacteria
Description: bacterial SSU rRNA
Rfam family: Bacterial small subunit ribosomal RNA
Source: RNAcentral
UUGUUGGUAAGGUAAAAGCUUACCAAGGCUUCGAUCAGUAGCUGGUCUGAGAGGACGACCAGCCACACUGGGACUGAGACACGGCCCAGACUCCUACGGGAGGCAGCAGUGGGGAAUUUUGGACAAUGGGGGCAACCCUGAUCCAGCCAUGCCGCGUGAGUGAAGAAGGCCUUCGGGUUGUAAAGCUCUUUCAGCCGGAACGAAACGGUUACGGUUAACACCCGUGACUACUGACGGUACCGGAAGAAGAAGCACCGGCUAACUACGUGCCAGCAGCCGCGGUAAUACGUAGGGUGCGAGCGUUAAUCGGAAUUACUGGGCGUAAAGCGUGCGCAGGUGGUUUUGUAAGUCAGAUGUGAAAGCCCCGGGCUCAACCUGGGAACUGCGCUUGAAACUACAAGACUAGAGUGUGGCAGAGGGGGGUGGAAUUCCGCGUGUAGCAGUGAAAUGCGUAGAGAUGUGGAGGAACACCGAUGGCGAAGGCAGCCCCCUGGGUCAACACUGACGCUCAGGCACGAAAGCAUGGGGAGCAAACAGGAUUAGAUACCCUGGUAGUCCAUGCCCUAAACGAUGUCAACUAGUUGUCGGGCCUUUACGGGCUUGGUAACGUAGCUAACGCGUGAAGUUGACCGCCUGGGGAGUACGAUCGCAAGAUUAAAACUCAAAUGAAUUGACGGGGACCCGCACAAGCGGUGGAUUAUGUGGAUUAAUUCGAUGCAACGCGAAAAACCUUACCUACCCUUGACAUGUAUCGAAGCCCGCAGAAAAGCGGGGGUGCCCGAAAGGGAACGAUAACACAGGUGCUGCAUGGCUGUCGUCAGCUCGUGUCGUGAGAUGUUGGGUUAAGUCCCGCAACGAGCGCAACCCUUGUCAUUAAUUGCCAUCAUUUAGUUGGGCACUUUAAUGAGACUGCCGG